AUGGAGGCUGACACCGGGGACGGGAGCGUGUCCACGGCCGAGAUGCUGAGAGGAGUCGUGGCCGAGAAACUGACCGCCGCCGCGCGGGAGAUCUUAGCGGUGGUCGAGAGAACCGUGGCCGGGUACGAGGAGGAGACUGCGGGUCUGAGGCUGGAGGUCGACCGGCAGAGGAAGCACCUGGAGGCUCUGCUGUCCAUCUCCGCUGAGAUCAAACUGGAGGCAGCAGAUGACCAGUUUCCUGUCUGUGAGCCGGCGGCUGGAGGAGGAACCGAACUCCCCGAAGAGGAACAGCGGCACAAACAGGAGCCGAGUGUGGAAGACAGCUGGAGUCUGGGCCUCGUCUGCUCCACUGAGGAACGGAUGGAGGAGGAUGAAGAGGAUGAAGAGGAGCAUCCGGAACAUCUCACAGAACCAGAUGGUGAAGAAUCAUCAAGGUUUUUGACUCCCACAGUUCAGUCUGACAGGAGGAGUGCUGACGGACCUGCGAUCAGGGAAUCAGAGGACCACAUAGACCUCAGGAUCCGCAUCCUGCAGGACUAUCAGAUCGAUGUGCUCUCACCCCACGCGUAUACGAAGUUUCCGCUUCUGGAGCUGCAGUGUCCUCGUGGGAUGCAGGAGGCGGACUUCCUGGACCUGCUGAGGUCCACCUUCCCUCAACUGGCUGCUCAGGAAACUUUUGACCUCUUCUUAACUGACAAAAUGAAGAAACUACACCCACUCAGAGUGGAGACUCUGACACCAGAGGAGAUCUGUAAGACCACUGGACGUGCAACCCUCUUCAUCCGACUGAAGCUUCCUGAGGGAGUCCAGCCACAAGAGAUUGAACCUCUGCACAGAGAAGAUGCUGCUCCAGAUUCUCCGUCCACAGAUCAAACCGGACUGAACACGAGAGUUCAGUCUGACAAGAGGAAGCCCAGCAGACGUCAUAGGAGUGAACCUCCGAACCUAAUAGAUCUCAGAAUCUGCAUCCUGGAGGACUCUCGGAUCAAUAUGCUCUCAAACAAAGUGUAUAAGAAGUUCCCGCUUCUGGAGCUGCAGUGUACUCGUGGGAUGCAGGAGGCGGACUUCCUGGACCUGCUGAGGUCCACCUUCCCUCAACUGGCUGCUCAGGAAACGUUUGACUUCUUCACAUGUGGCACAAAGAAGAUACUGCAGCCGUUCAGAGUGGAGACUCUGACACCAGAGGAGAUCUGUAAGACCACUGGACGUUCAACCAUCUACAUCCGACUGAAGUCGCCUGAGGGAGUCCAGCCCCGAGAGAAAGAAGCUCUGCACAGAGAAGAUGCUGCUCCAGAUUCUCAGUCCACAGAUAAAACCGGACUGAACAUGAGGUAAAAACACAAAGAGC
This 1348-nucleotide long non-coding RNA is filed under the name Dicentrarchus labrax (European seabass). RNAcentral's name for it is "lncRNA (ENSDLAG00005029911.1)". Lineage: Eukaryota; Metazoa; Chordata; Actinopteri; Moronidae. The record is from RNAcentral.